AAUGAACAGGGAUAAGCUCAGCAUGGAAAUUGGGGCCCUCGGCCUUGAAUUGUAGUCUUGAGAUGUGUUACCAACGGAGGCGCAGAUGUAAGCCUCUUGGAAAAGAGCGUCAGGGAGGGUGAGAGUCCCGUAUGUCAUCUGCAGUUCUCUGUGCACGGUGCAUGUUCUAAGAGUCACGUUCCUCGGGAUUGGAGCGCAAAUUGGGUGGUAAAUUUCAUCUAAAGCUAAAUAUUGGUUCGAGACCGAUAGCAAACAAGUACCAUGAGGGAAAGGUGAAAAGGACUUUGAAAAGAGAGUUAAAAGUGCCUGAAAUUGCUGAAAGGGAAGCGAAUGGAACCAGUUGUUCUUGGUGAGUAUUGGUGUUGUCUAAAGUGAUGGCUUGCCACUUCAACGCAAGUGUGGUGGCAGGUUUUGAUCUGGAUGCGAUACUGCUUCUCGCCUUGCAUGUCAACGUCAGUUCAUAAUUGAGGAAAACUCUAAGGACAUGGUAAUUCGCUUCCGAGUGACUGAAUGUCCUCAGUUGAACUCAUUUUUGAACUGCUCUCUGUGUGUCUGGUAGCACUGCUUCAUGUGCUUGCCUGCGAUCUUCUGCUCUGCAUGAAGGUUGUUGGUGCCAGGAGCAUGUCCUUGACAUUAGAACGAUGACGAAAUGGUUUU
RNAcentral lists this ribosomal RNA (657 nucleotides) under Karenia mikimotoi. Its description in RNAcentral is "LSU rRNA". It matches the Rfam family "Eukaryotic large subunit ribosomal RNA", at positions 92 to 641 of the family's 3401-position model. Lineage: Eukaryota; Dinophyceae; Gymnodiniales; Kareniaceae. The record is from RNAcentral.